AUGCUGCAGACAAAAUUGUCCAAUACUUGUGGUGUGAAGGGGACAAAUUGUAUAAGGCCUGCUGAUUCAGAACCACCUCCACAUUACUUGUUUACAAGUGGUGCCAAGGAUGAAGUCGAAGCGGCAUGGAUGGCAGCAAUCAACAAGGAAAUUAAACGUGUGUUGACAGAAGUUCUUCUGAAGGUUACGGAUGAUCUUUUCAAUGAGAUCGCAACCAAAGUUAUGAAUGAAGAUGAUUCAUCAGCUGAACCAAAUGAGACCACUGGUGUCUCUAGCUCAAAGGAGCUUGGUCUGGAAGAAUCAAAAGUGAAGACCACAGCUAAAGUUGUAGUCCUUGCUAAGCCAAACAAUGUUAGCUCUACUGGUCGUUCUGAUGGUACUGGGCUAAGUUCUCCUAAAGGUGUUCUUCUUGGUCUUGCUAGUUAUGAUUCAGAUGACGAGGAUGAUGAGGGUGAUGGUGAUGGCAAGGGUGUAAUUCCGAAUUUACCAUCUGAAAUUAAAAGUUGGUGCAGCUCAUCCUAA
RNAcentral lists this ribosomal RNA (522 nucleotides) under Triticum aestivum (bread wheat). RNAcentral describes it as "partial small subunit ribosomal RNA". The record is from RNAcentral. Lineage: Eukaryota; Viridiplantae; Streptophyta; Magnoliopsida; Poales; Poaceae.